RNAcentral lists this ribosomal RNA (235 nucleotides) under uncultured bacterium. RNAcentral's name for it is "partial 16S ribosomal RNA". It matches the Rfam family "Bacterial small subunit ribosomal RNA", at positions 100 to 334 of the family's 1533-position model. The record is from RNAcentral.
CGGCACGGGUGAGUAACACGUAUCCAACCUGCCGUCUACUCUUGGACAGCCUUCUGAAAGGAAGAUUAAUACAAGAUGGCAUCAUGAGUCCGCAUGUUCACAUGAUUAAAGGUAUUCCGGUAGACGAUGGGGAUGCGUUCCAUAGAUAGUAGGCGGGGUAACGGCCCACCUAGUCUUCGAUGGAUAGGGGUUCUGAGAGGAAGGUCCCCCACAUUGGAACUGAGACACGGUCCAA